GGUGGCUGCCAGAGGGCAGGCAGGCCUAGGGCUGGGGGCAGGCCAGCGGGUGGGAUGAAGGUGACCACCAGAGCCAGGAUGGUGUCUAGCAAAUGGCAGUCU
Long non-coding RNA from Gavialis gangeticus (Gharial), 102 nucleotides. RefSeq lists it as uncharacterized. The record is from RefSeq and is a predicted model, not a curated record. NCBI's taxonomy places the organism in Eukaryota, Metazoa, Chordata, Crocodylia, Gavialidae. The transcript is spliced from 3 exons.